UUUCCGUAGGUGAACCUGCGGAAGGAUCAUUACUGAAGAUUAUAGAGUCUGAGACUGCGCUCAACAAGCGUGUGCUCGGCUCUUACUCUUUAUCCACACACACCUUUGUGCACUAUGGGGACCGUUAAAAAGUCCCCCUUUUCAUAUAAAAACCAGGUUAUAAUGCAUGGCUUUAUACUACUCUACGGAGUAAUAAUAAAAAAACAACUUUCAACAACGGAUCUCUUGGCUUUCGCAUCGAUGAAGAACGCAGCGAACGUGCGAAACGUAAUGUGAAUUGCAGAAUUCAGUGAAUCAUCGAAUCUUUGAACGCAUCUUGCGCUCCUUGGCAUUCCGAGGAGCAUGCCUGUUUGAGUGUCGUGAAUACUCUCAACUUCAAUCUUUGUUGAUUUGAAGUUGGAUGUGGAUGUUGUUGUGUUAAUGCGACUCAUCCUAAAUGCAUUAGCGAUCUGCCUUGGAUCACACAAUGUGAUAAGCAAAAGCAUUGUUGGACUCAAGUCAAAGGGUUGCUUCCAACCGUCGAAAGACAAGAGCAUAUAUAUGUCAUUUGACCUCAAAUCAGGUAGGACUACCCGCUGAACUUAAGCA
This 588-nucleotide ribosomal RNA is filed under the name Geastrum velutinum. RNAcentral describes it as "eukaryotic LSU rRNA". The stretch from base 206 to 360 matches the Rfam family "5.8S ribosomal RNA". The record is from RNAcentral. Lineage: Eukaryota; Fungi; Basidiomycota; Agaricomycetes; Geastrales; Geastraceae.